GCCUCUGUCGGACGCUGCGCCUCCGCCUCCCAUCCUUCAUCAAUCCCCCUGUGUCUCUGAUCCUCUUUCCAGGGAAUCACGAUCAUCCUCACCUCCCACUUUCUCUGGGGUGAGCAGCCGGAUAGACUGUACUCACUACUCCGUCACUACCCGCGCUCCCGGAAAAGACCGGGCAAGCCGGAAGAUCAUAUUCCAACCAAUAGGAGAGAAGAAUCCGACAGGAACCAAUCGCAGAGGGAGAGUGUAAUGAAGCACCAAGCCAAGACUCCAGACCAUGUUGGGCUUCAAAACUCAAGGCCUCACCUCCCUGCGAUGGCCUCCAGUGUGGGACUCGCCUCCCCGCAAUGGCUUCUGCUCUGGGAUUCACCUUCCCCGCGCUGGCUCCAGUCUGGAUUCUGCCUCCCUGGAAUGGCCUCAGAUUAAACAAUGCAAUAGAAGCGAGGGUGCAAAAGAGAUUCUCUACAAUGUCACCUGGGCUGGAAUGAUUCAACUGUGAAGAGAGACUGCAUAAACCGGAAAAAAAAACAAAGGACUGCGGAUCAUGGAAAUCUGAAGCAAAAAUGACCUUCCCUCCAUUUGAAGGUCAGAAGCGAACAGGAAAGGUUGAGAAGAUAUGGGUCAUGUGCAGGCAAAUGGGACUAAUUUGGUUUGGGAAACUUGGUCAGCAUGGAUAAGUUGGACUGAAUGGUCUGUUUCCAUGCUCUACGACUGUACGAAAGCCAUCCAGGGUCUCUAAGGAUUUGGAGUAGAUUUGUAGCUCGGGUUGUGGGUGUUGAGGGUGGUUGGCUUGCCAAGCUGAUUUGUUGUUCUGCAGACGUUUCAUUACCUUGCUGGUUAACAUUCUCAGUGCAGCCUCCGAUGAAGCGUCGGUGUGUUUUCCCACCUGGUUUUUAAACUCUGGAGUCCAUUGAGCUGGAUUGCCUCACUUCUGGUUUUUUUUCAUAGUGGACUGUAUAUGGGGUCGAGUUCUAUGUGUUUAUUGAUGGUUUUCUUCGUGGAGUACCAGGCUUUUAGGAAUUCCCGUGCUUGUCUCUGCUUAGCUUGUCUCAGGAUUUUGGUGUUGUCCCUGUCGAAUUGGUGGUUCUCCUUAUCCAUGAGGAUUGAGAUGAGUGAGUACUGGUUAUGUCUUUUUGUAGAGGCUGCACUGUGGAUGUUACCCAGCAAAGUAAUGAAAUAUCUGCGAAACAACAAACCAGCUGGGUGAGCCAACCAACCUCAACCAUCCAGGCUCAUCGUUGUAUCACAAGAUUUUAUCUCAAGAACCUAAUAUUCCUUCUUGUAUACUUUGUACUACAUUGUAGGUGCAGGUUAGUAUGCCACUCCCACUAGUGACUUCUUUCUCCUACUAUUCUUCAUUUUUACUUAAACAGAUUCUACAUCCGGAUCACUUGAACCAAGGCCCCCAACUGCUAGUGCCCUUUUGACUUUACCUAGCUUCCUAUUCUUGAAUACGAUAUACCCUUCAAUAUUUAGGCCCAAUUCUUCUCUUCCUGCAGUCAUGUCUCAAUGACGGCUUUUAAUCUGUUCACUUUGUUAUGAAUGUUAUCCACAUUCAGAUACAGAACCUUUAGCUUUGUCUCUGCUAUCUUUGAAUAUUGGGUCUUAAUGUUUGUCAUACUUCUAGGUUUCUUCUUUGUCCUUUUCUCCCACUCUGUGAUCUUCAUUCCCCAUUUACUUUCCUCUCUUGUCUCGACUCAUUGAUACAUUUCACCUUUCCACAGUUUCCUUAUUUAGUUGAAACCCUUCCAACUUCCCACGUUAUGCCUUUUGCAUGAUCAUCACCUAGCCCAGUUCAGGUUUGGAUCAUGCAAAUAAUAAAGUAACCACUUUCCUAAGCACCAGUGCCAUUAGCCCAAAAAAAUCCCCACUUUUGCCACACCUGUAUUUGAGCUUUGUAUUCAUUUCUUUAACUGUGAAUAGCAAGUGUCAAUUUCCAAAAAUCUGAGAUUAUCAACUAGAGAUUUUGACCUUUGAGGUCCUAGUUUCUAAUUUAGCACCUAGCUCCUCAUAGUCAUAGAGUUGUACAGCACAGAAACAGAUCCUUUGGUCUAUGUGUCCACGCUGACCGGGUAUCUUAAACUGAUCUAGUCCCAUUUGCCAGCAUUUGGCCCAUAUCCCUCUAAACCUUUGCUAUUCAUACAGCCAUCAUACUAUUGAUGCAGAACUUCUUUUCCAGUUCUGCUUUUUUUGUUGGUAUUUAAUGUUUGUCUUGAUGCAUGUCCCCAUAAACAAUGUACAGGACAGUCUUGCAUCACGGAACUGUUCAGAAUAAACAUCGACAAA
Molecule: RNA transcript, 2283 nt
Organism: Stegostoma tigrinum
Lineage: Eukaryota; Metazoa; Chordata; Chondrichthyes; Orectolobiformes; Stegostomatidae
Gene name: telomerase reverse transcriptase-like
Exons: 3
Source: RefSeq, a predicted model, not a curated record